UCGGGAAUUUUGGGCAAUGGGCGAAAGCCUGACCCAGCAACGCCGCGUGAAGGAUGAAGUAUUUCGGUAUGUAAACUUCGAAAGAAUAGGAAGAAUCAAUGACGGUACUAUUUAUAAGGUCCGGCUAACUACGUGCCAGCAGCCGCGGUAAUACGUAGGGACCAAGCGUUGUUCGGAUUUACUGGGCGUAAAGGGCGCGUAGGCGGCGCGGUAAGUCACUUGUGAAAUCUCUGAGCUUAACUCAGAACGGCCAAGUGAUACUGCAGUGCUAGAGUGCGGAAGGGGCAAUCGGAAUUCUUGGUGUAGCGGUGAAAUGCGUAGAUAUCAAGAGGAACACCUGAGGUGAAGACGGGUUGCUGGGCCGACACUGACGCUGAGGCGCGAAAGCCAGGGGAGCAAACGGGAUUAGAUACCCUCGUAGUCCCUGAGCGGGCUGGCAAGGCGCAU
Molecule: ribosomal RNA, 447 nt
Filed under: uncultured bacterium
Lineage: Bacteria
Description: bacterial SSU rRNA
Rfam family: Bacterial small subunit ribosomal RNA
Source: RNAcentral